RNAcentral lists this ribosomal RNA (728 nucleotides) under uncultured Staphylococcus sp. Its description in RNAcentral is "bacterial SSU rRNA". It matches the Rfam family "Bacterial small subunit ribosomal RNA", at positions 59 to 769 of the family's 1533-position model. The record is from RNAcentral. Lineage: Bacteria; Bacillati; Bacillota; Bacilli; Caryophanales; Staphylococcaceae.
AAGUCGAGCGAACAGACGAGGAGCUUGCUUCUCUGACGUUAGCGGCGGACGGGUGAGUAACACGUGGAUAACCUACCUAUAAGACUGGGAUAACUUCGGGAAACCGGAGCUAAUACCGGAUAAUAUAUUGAACCGCAUGGUUCAAUAGUGAAAGACGGUUUUGCUGUCACUUAUAGAUGGAUCCGCGUCGCAUUAGCUAGUUGGUAAGGUAACGGCUUACCAAGGCAACGAUGCGUAGCCGACCUGAGAGGGUGAUCGGCCACACUGGAACUGAGACACGGUCCAGACUCCUACGGGAGGCAGCAGUAGGGAAUCUUCCGCAAUGGGCGAAAGCCUGACGGAGCAACGCCGCGUGAGUGAUGAAGGUCUUCGGAUCGUAAAACUCUGCUAUUAGGGAAGAACAAAUGUGUAAGUAACUAUGCACGUCUUGACGGUACCUAAUCAGAAAGCCACGGCUAACUACGUGCCAGCAGCCGCGGUAAUACGUAGGUGGCAAGCGUUAUCCGGAAUUAUUGGGCGUAAAGCGCGCGUAGGCGGUUUUUUAAGUCUGAUGUGAAAGCCCACGGCUCAACCGUGGAGGGUCAUUGGAAACUGAAAAACUUGAGUGCAGAAGAGGAAAGUGGAAUUCCAUGUGUAGCGGUGAAAUGCGCAGAGAUAUGGAGGAACACCAGUGGCGAAGGCGACUUUCUGGUCUGUAACUGACGCUGAUGUGCGAAAGCGUGGGGAUC